CCUGCGUCUGAUUAGCUAGUUGGUGAGGUAAUGGCCCACCAAGGCGACGAUCAGUAGCCGGCCUGAGAGGGUGAUCGGCCACACUGGAACUGAGACACGGUCCAGACUCCUACGGGAGGCAGCAGUGGGGAAUUUUGCGCAAUGGGCGAAAGCCUGACGCAGCAACGCCGCGUGGGUGAUGAAGGUCUUCGGAUCGUAAAACCCUGUCGUCGGGGACGAAGGUGGAGGGGUUAAUAGCCUCUUUGCUUGACGGUACCCGGAGAGGAAGCCCCGGCUAACUCUGUGCCAGCAGCCGCGGUAAUACAGAGGGGGCAAGCGUUAUUCGGAAUUAUUGGGCGUAAAGGGCGCGUAGGCGGCUUUUUAAGUGAGAUGUGUAAUCCCUGAGCUCAACUUGGGAACUGCAUCUCAUACUGGGAGGCUAGAGUACUGGAGAGGGUGGUAGAAUUCCACGUGUAGCGGUGAAAUGCGUAGAGAUGUGGAGGAAUACCAGUGGCGAAGGCGGCCACCUGGACAGUAACUGACGCUGAGGCGCGAAAGUGUGGGUAGCAAACAGGAUUAGAUACCCUGGUAGUCCACACUGUAAACGAUGAACACUUGGUGUGGAGGGAGUUGACCCCUUCCGUGCCGUAGCUAACGCGUUAAGUGUUCCGCCUGGGGAGUACGGUCGCAAGGCUG
This 675-nucleotide ribosomal RNA is filed under the name uncultured bacterium. RNAcentral describes it as "bacterial SSU rRNA". It matches the Rfam family "Bacterial small subunit ribosomal RNA", at positions 230 to 896 of the family's 1533-position model. The record is from RNAcentral.